RNAcentral lists this ribosomal RNA (476 nucleotides) under uncultured bacterium. RNAcentral's name for it is "bacterial SSU rRNA". It matches the Rfam family "Bacterial small subunit ribosomal RNA", at positions 33 to 507 of the family's 1533-position model. The record is from RNAcentral.
AGACGACGCUGGCGGCGUGCCUAACACAUGCAAGUCGAGCGGAGGCAUACGAGGAGUAAUCUGAGUAUGCCUGAGCGGCGGACGGGUGAGUAACGCGUGAGCAACCUGCCUUCCACGAGGGGGAAACGUUUACCGAAAGGUACACUAAUACCGCAUGAGACCACGGUACCGAUGGUAGUGGGGUCAAAGGAGCAAUCCGGUGGGAGAUGGGCUCGCGUCCGAUUAGGUAGUUGGCGGGGUAACGGCCCACCAAGCCUGUGAUCGGUAGCCGGCCUGAGAGGGUGAACGGCCACAUUGGAACUGAGAGACGGUCCAAACUCCUACGGGAGGCAGCAGGUGGGGAAUUAGUUGGGCAAUGGGGGGAACCCUGACCCAGCAACGCCGCGUGAGGGAAGAAGGUUUUCGGAUUGUAAACCUCUGUUCUUGGAGAAGAGUGGAAGACGGUAUCCAAGGAGGAAGCCCCGGCUAACUACGUG